GUAGGUGAACCUGCGGAAGGAUCAUUAAUUUCGGUGGUUUUCCACUGUUAUGAGGGGGAUUUCGGUCCCUUCUCUCCUUCCUUGUCUUUUGAGUACCCUAGUUUCUUUGGUAGGCUUGCCUGCCAUUGACAACCUAUAACCUUUUUAAUUUUAAAUCAGCGUCUGAAAUUUUUAAUAAUUACAACUUUCAACAACGGAUCUCUUGGUUCUG
Molecule: unclassified non-coding RNA, 211 nt
Filed under: rhizosphere metagenome
Description: partial ribosomal RNA internal transcribed spacer region
Source: RNAcentral